RNAcentral lists this ribosomal RNA (476 nucleotides) under uncultured bacterium. RNAcentral describes it as "bacterial SSU rRNA". It matches the Rfam family "Bacterial small subunit ribosomal RNA", at positions 28 to 483 of the family's 1533-position model. The record is from RNAcentral.
GAUGAACGCUAGCUACAGGCUUAACACAUGCAAGUCGAGGGGAAACGACAUCGAAAGCUUGCUUUUGGUGGGCGUCGACCGGCGCACGGGUGAGUAACGCGUAUCCAACCUGCCCACCACUUGGGGAUAACCUUGCGAAAGUAAGACUAAUACCCAAUGAUGUCCCACGAAGGCAUCCGAAUGGGAUUAAAGAUUUAUCGGUGAUGGAUGGGGAUGCGUCUGAUUAGCUUGUUGGCGGGGUAACGGCCCACCAAGGCAACGAUCAGUAGGGGUUCUGAGAGGAAGGUCCCCCCACAUUGGAACUGAGACACGGUCCAAACUCCUACGGGAGGCAGCAGUGAGGAAUAUUGGUCAAUGGGCGAGAGCCUGACGGAGCAACGCCGCGUGAACGAUGACGGCCUUCGGUUGUAAAGUUACUGUUAUACGGGACGAAGUGGCGUAGCGGUCAAUACCCGUUACGAGUGACGGUACCGUAA